UACGAAGGGGGCUAGCGUUGUUCGGAAUUACUGGGCGUAAAGGGCGCGCAGGCGGCGGUGCUGGCCCGGCGUGAAAGCCCCCGGCUCAACCGGGGAGGGUCGUCGGGGACCGCACCGCUUGAGGGCGGUAGGGGCUGGUGGAAUGCCUGGUGUAGUGGUGAAAUGCGUAGAGAUCAGGCGAAACACCCGUGGCGAAGGCGGCCAGCUGGGCCGACCCUGACGCUGAGGCGCGAAGGCGUGGGGAGCGAACGGG
This 253-nucleotide ribosomal RNA is filed under the name uncultured bacterium. RNAcentral describes it as "partial 16S ribosomal RNA". It matches the Rfam family "Bacterial small subunit ribosomal RNA", at positions 524 to 776 of the family's 1533-position model. The record is from RNAcentral.